GUUUUGAUAAGGAAUCAACCCAAACGGUUAAUUAAUCAUCCCAACACCAUUUUAAAAGUAAACCAUUCCUUUCUUGGUUGAUUUGAAAUGCUACCUUUACCAAACAAAUUGUUCAUGCUUUGUAUCUGAUUUAGGCUUUUUACUCAGCUUCUGACGGUGUUACUGGGAAGAGUGAGUUAGUCAUCCAGGAAAUGACUUGUUCUGGAGUAUUGCUGCACAGAUAAUGAACGGUCUGGUUAAAGCGAUGUAUUGAAACAACCAAUUUGGAAACUAUCCCUCGCGUGCACGGACGGAUCCGAGAAGUUCCUACCCACCCCAUCGCUUCAUUCUAUCUGGGGAUUGGGUUUGUGAGAUCUCUCGGUAAGGCGCCGAAAUGCUCCUCGUUAGCUUG
This 391-nucleotide long non-coding RNA is filed under the name Mustela putorius furo (domestic ferret). RNAcentral's name for it is "lncRNA (ENSMPUG00000030147.1)". Lineage: Eukaryota; Metazoa; Chordata; Mammalia; Carnivora; Mustelidae. The record is from RNAcentral.